Calypte anna (Anna's hummingbird) is the source of this 1079-nucleotide long non-coding RNA. RefSeq lists it as uncharacterized. The transcript has 4 exons. Lineage: Eukaryota; Metazoa; Chordata; Aves; Apodiformes; Trochilidae. The record is from RefSeq and is a predicted model, not a curated record.
UGCCAGCCCCCUCCCCUCCCCGGGGGGUGCGUGUGCAUCCCCCCCCUCCCCUCUUUUCCAUCAUCCUGACCCCCAACCCGGGCUGACCCCCGGGUGGGGGGGAGUGAGGAGGAGGAGGAUGAAGAAGGGGGGGUUGUGGGGGUGCGCAGGCACUUGUGCAGGCGCAGCCCUUUCGCAUCAAGGUGUGCUGCAAUCCGGGCGGGCAAGAGAUUGGCUAUAAGGAGAAGGCUGACGGCUGCAGCAUGAAGCGCAUUAUUACCUUGUGAUUCCAUGACCCUCCUCUAUGCAUCCCUAACUCUCGAAAGCUGAUUCAGCUUUCAGCUAGUGCUCUGGUGAGUCCUCUGCUGCAACAGAACCUCCUAACUGUCCCCGAAAGGCUUGUGCUAUCUUUUGGGGUUUGCUUAUCUGCGAGGUAGUGUCUCAGUCCCAGUGACCAGCAGAGGAAAAAUCAUUGGAUUCUCUAGAUCAGACCUGCUCUUCAGCUGUAGCCACUAAGAAGCUUAAAUAAAUCCCAAUUGCCUCAAAGUGAAGCCAUUUGAACCACCUCAGCAUCAGGCAGCAAGUUCAGAAGAGGUCCAGGAGGCCAGGAAAGACCCUGAGGAAUUCCCCUCUUUGCUGGUCACAGCCAGCGAGGCCAAAUGCUUUGCUAAAGCUGGUAAAAUGGAACCAAAUCAACUGUUCAAUGGAUUUGGUCCCCUUCAACCAGCUGUAGCUGUGCAUUGAUCUCUCAGAUGCACCUUGGAGGAUAAAACACUCGGAUGGGACAGAGACAACUCAAGUAGCAGAAGACAAAUGGCCACGUGAGAGCUGCCAAUAAGGAAAUCUUGAUGACUGGCAUCUGCAGAUCUAUCACCCAGGCUCUGAGCUGGUGGGCUGAGCCCGAGUCAUUAUGUGGUUGCCAGUCAACUCUGCCUUCUGGAGACCCCUGGAGAUUGAUCUCUCUAUCAUCUUCCUCUAUUGAUCUCGGCUGCAAAGUCAGGAGGGUGCAGUUCAGCUGUAGCUUCUGUGCAUUCCCUUUUGUAUUUGCUCAUGCCCAGUGUCUCAUCUACUGCAAUGAAGAAUAAAAGUUUUGGUCUGAA